CGGUGGAGCAUGUGGUUUAAUUCGAAGCAACGCGAAGAACCUUACCAGGUCUUGACAUCCUCUGACAAUCCUAGAGAUAGGACGUCCCCUUCGGGGGCAGAGUGACAGGUGGUGCAUGGUUGUCGUCAGCUCGUGUCGUGAGAUGUUGGGUUAAGUCCCGCAACGAGCGCAACCCUUGAUCUUAGUUGCCAGCAUUCAGUUGGGCACUCUAAGGUGACUGCCGGUGACAAACCGGAGGAAGGUGGGGAUGACGUCAAAUCAUCAUGCCCCUUAUGACCUGGGCUACACACGUGCUACAAUGGACAGAACAAAGGGCAGCGAAACCGCGAGGUUAAGCCAAUCCCACAAAUCUGUUCUCAGUUCGGAUCGCAGUCUGCAACUCGACUGCGUGAAGCUGGAAUCGCUAGUAAUCGCGGAUCAGCAUGCCGCGGUGAAUACGUUCCCGGGCCUUGUACACACCGCCCGUCACA
RNAcentral lists this ribosomal RNA (470 nucleotides) under Bacillus sp. (in: firmicutes). RNAcentral describes it as "bacterial SSU rRNA". It matches the Rfam family "Bacterial small subunit ribosomal RNA", at positions 930 to 1401 of the family's 1533-position model. Lineage: Bacteria; Bacillati; Bacillota; Bacilli; Caryophanales; Bacillaceae. The record is from RNAcentral.